GACGAACGCUGGCGGCGUGCCUAAUACAUGCCAGUCGAGCGGACGAAUCGAAAGCUUGCUUUUGAUUCGUUAGCGGCGGACGGGUGAGUAACACGUGGGCAACCUGCCCUGUAGACGGGGAUAACACCGAGAAAUCGGUGCUAAUACCGGAUAACACGAAAUGUCGCAUGACGUUUCGUUGAAAGGCGGCGCAAGCUGUCGCUACAGGAUGGGCCCGCGGCGCAUUAGCUAGUUGGUGAGGUAACGGCUCACCAAGGCGACGAUGCGUAGCCGACCUGAGAGGGUGAUCGGCCACACUGGGACUGAGACACGGCCCAGACUCCUACGGGAGGCAGCAGUAGGGAAUCUUCCGCAAUGGACGAAAGUCUGACGGAGCAACGCCGCGUGAGCGAAGAAGGCCUUCGGGUCGUAAAGCUCUGUUGUUAGGGAAGAACAAGUAACGCAGUAACUGGCGUUACCGUGACGGUACCUAACGAGAAAGCCACGGCUAACUACGUG
This 498-nucleotide ribosomal RNA is filed under the name uncultured bacterium. Its description in RNAcentral is "partial 16S ribosomal RNA". It matches the Rfam family "Bacterial small subunit ribosomal RNA", at positions 28 to 507 of the family's 1533-position model. The record is from RNAcentral.